GGCUCAGAUUGAACGCUGGCGGCAGGCUUAACACAUGCAAGUCGAGCGGUAGAGAGAAGCUUGCUUCUCUUGUGAGCGGCGGACGGGUGAGUAAUGCCUAGGAAUCUGCCUGGUAGUGGGGGAUAACGUUUGGAAACGAACGCUAAUACCGCAUACGUCCUACGGGAGAAAGCAGGGGACCUUCGGGCCUUGCGCUAUCAGAUGAGCCUAGGUCGGAUUAGCUAGUUGGUGAGGUAAUGGCUCACCAAGGCGACGAUCCGUAACUGGUCUGAGAGGAUGAUCAGUCACACUGGAACUGAGACACGGUCCAGACUCCUACGGGAGGCAGCAGUGGGGAAUAUUGGACAAUGGGCGAAAGCCUGAUCCAGCCAUGCCGCGUGUGUGAAGAAGG
Molecule: ribosomal RNA, 391 nt
Filed under: uncultured bacterium
Lineage: Bacteria
Description: bacterial SSU rRNA
Rfam family: Bacterial small subunit ribosomal RNA
Source: RNAcentral